Molecule: long non-coding RNA, 1224 nt
Filed under: Chrysemys picta bellii (western painted turtle)
Lineage: Eukaryota; Metazoa; Chordata; Testudines; Emydidae
Description: lncRNA (ENSCPBG00000005667.1)
Source: RNAcentral
CAGCAAUGACUAAACUCAUGUCCCGAUCCCUUCUCCUUGCAGACCCUUGUCAAGGUUGCCAAGGCCUUGGCGAUGGGGGUGGCUGGAACUACUUCCUCGCCAACUGAGGUAUAUGCAGACCCAGAAAGAGGAGGGUGGACUGAGGGUCCUUCUGCCCAUGCAGCCUCACAACUGUCCGCUCUGCAAAAAGUCCAUCCCCAUCAAAUGGGAGGUCCUGGAUUGAGGACUGCAUCUCCUGUGAUAGGCCCGCAGUCUGAAGCCAGUAACUGCACCUCAUGACCACCACCGAAGGAACCACCCUGGCCUACAAAUCAGCUGCGUCCCACGCCAUUUGGAGGGAGCACCUUGCCGUUAUGGUACCUUCCUCAAGAAGAGCCCCGAAUUCUUGGGCCAAGUCCUGGGACAGGGAGAUCUUGAAUUUUCUGAAGGAGUCCCAUAAGUUAAAGUUAUAUCUCCCCAAAAGAGCCUGGUGGUUUGCGACCCUGAACCGAAGGCCGGCUGUGGAAUACAUUUUCCUUUCAAAAAGAUCCAGCCUCGUGGCUUCUUUAUUUUUGGAGGUAGAACUGGAUUGUCUCUGUCUGUAUUCCUCAUUGGCCACUGAAACAACCAACGACCCCAAGGGAAGGUGGGUGUAUAAGUAUUCGAACCCCUUGGCUGGGAAGAAAUACUUGUUUUCAGCUCUCUUGCAGGUGGGUGGGAUUGAGGCCGGAGUUUGCCAGAGGGCUUUAGCAAUCUUUAGGACCCCAUCGUGCACCGGGAGCAUGACAUAUGUGGGAGCUGAUGUGGAGAGCACAUUAAACAAGGUGCCCGAUUGCUCCGCCGUCACCACCACCUCUAGGGCUAAGUUUGUGGCCACCCUUCAGAGCAGGGCUUUGUGCUCCUUAAAAUCAUCCGGUGGACUAGCAUGGGAGGACACCACAACAACCUCAUCUGAAGAAGAUGAGGAUGUCUGGAGCACCGGGGAAGGGCCAGGGCUUCAUCCCCAUGAGGGAAGGAGGUUUUGGGAUGGGCACACGACCCUGGCAUCCGACUGCACUUUGCGCACCGAUCCCGGUGCCAUCUAUUGCUUUUCUGAAGCAGCGACCAACAAUUGGUGUGAAGGAGACACUGGCAUACCUCAGGCACUCCAGUAGAGCCAUUGCACCGGCCACCUGCCCUGCUGCAGGAUGGCAUCGUGGAGGUGGACUCCGUUUCAGGUGCCCUGUGGGUGCUGCCCUGGUGAAG